This 2820-nucleotide long non-coding RNA is filed under the name Coffea arabica (coffee). Its description in RNAcentral is "long non-coding RNA (CARA_LNC000112)". The record is from RNAcentral. Lineage: Eukaryota; Viridiplantae; Streptophyta; Magnoliopsida; Gentianales; Rubiaceae.
CAAAACUGAGAGAGACUAAGCCAUUUCUUUUCAUCUCAAGACACAACCGAGAGAGAGGAAAAUAUUUCUGGUUCUUCCUUGUUCCAGUUUCCAACCGAGAGAGAGAGUGGGGGAGAGAGUUAGACAUUUGCUAGCUUUAUUUCUCCAGCUAGCAACCUCAAAAUCGUGAGCCAAAGUGAGUGAGAGGGAGAGAAAUCCUGGUGGUAUGCUUCACCUAAUGGCCUCAAUCGAAUGAGAGUGAAGUAGCUAGAAGAAAGAGUGAGAGUUGGCGCAAUUUUGAGGAACCGAAGCUCAACUUGGAGCCGCCUGCACUCGCUGAAUUCUAGAGGAAAGGAGUUCUUGUCCUUAGUUUAGCUACCGAGAGACAUUAGGAUGAAAAGGAGAGAAAGACCAAAAGAAAGAAACAACAACAACUACUAGGAACUCAUUUUUGGCCUCCUUCAACCGUGAGAACCAGCCACAAAGAAAGAAGGAAUGCAGUCUAUCGAGCUAAGAAUGGGAGAAAGAAACCAGAAUUUUAUUUUCCUAACUUAGAGCCAUAAGAACCAGAGGUAAACUUCUGUCUUUCUCUUCCAUUUCUUCUACGUUUAGCUAGUAGUCUUUUAGACUGAGUUGGAACCAAGUUAAGAAAACUUUAUAGAAAACAAAGGUUGUCAAAGCUGGGAAUGUUCGUUUGAACAUGAAUGUUCUUACUCUAAUGUUUAUAUGAUUGCAAGUUAGAUUUGAGUGUAAAAUAAAGAGAUUAUUAGAGAAAUUUCAUACUUUUAAACUGCUAGCUGCUGAAACUCCUUCAUCUUGGCCGAGAGAAUAAAAGAGAGUAUUCACCAACUUUUCUCUUCAAACCUCGGCUGUAAAUUCUAUAUUGUGAUUCAAAACACCUCAUAGAAUAAAAAUUAUCACCUGGAUAUUAAGUUUGAAUAAGGAAAAUAAAGAAUUUUACGGAGAAAACUUGUUUUCCAACCUACCUACUUGCUGGAAUUUUUCAACCUCAGCCGAGAGAGAUGAAAGGGAUUUUUUUUCUGAUAUUUCUCUAUAGAUUUUGGGCUGUAAACUUUCAUAUUAAGGUUGAUUACACCUUAUAAUAUCAUUAGAUGGUCAUGUAUGUGAAUUUUGGGGUGAAAAUGUGAUUUUUAUGGCUGGAUUCUUGUUUGAAAGACUGUUAGGCUAAUAAAUCAUUUACAGUUUAGUCAACGGAAUUUCUUGGCAUUUGAAUGGAUAUUUUAGUAUAAAAUUUGCUGGAAAUGCUUGAUUUGUACUUGUUGGUGUAUUAUGAGUUUGUUGGUGUUGGUGAGUGAUUGGUGGCUGGAAAUAAAAUCUAAAUAGUUAAAAUGGAAGGAAAAGUUUGCUAUACCAACUAUAGGAAUCAAAGGAGCCUUGUAACUUAUAUAAGAAGAUAUCCAUUUAUUACUUGGUUUAAUAGGUUCUAUAUAAAUUAUAUACACAUCUUAAGGUAAUAAACUAGUUAUGCAUGUGGUCUUGGUUAAUAAAAGAUGGAAUUAUGUGACAAGAAAGUACCUUAAGGUUAGCUACUUCUAAACUUACCUUGUUAAACGUUGAUGUUGAGUUUUAGUACGAUAAAUCUAACAGUAUAAAAGUAGUGAAGUGAUAUUACUGGAAUUGCUACUUAAACUUCCUUUCUUUUGGAGAUUAAAAGUCGAAGUAACAAGUGAGUGUGAGAAAAUGCACUAGUCGCCUCAUUUAAACAUAGCAAUGACUUAGAUUUCGGGUGGAAUGGUGACUUAAGGCUAGAAUACAACACGUAUGUUGAUUAUACUUUUGAACUUCACCAAAUGAGUAGUUAAAUAAUUAUGGCAAUUACAACUUGUCUCAGGAGAUAGCGGUGUGCAAGAAAGCAAUUCCGAGAUCGAAGUGUAACUUUUGAUUAGGGUGAGUGUUUCCGGAUUUAUGUGUUUAACUGUUUAUGUUUACUUAAGUGAAAUUAUUUGACAAAUGUGCUUGUUAUGAAUUAUUGCUAAGUGAUUCAUUGUAAAGUGUAUCUCAAUUGUCCCUCGCCUUCUAAGUCGAGGGUGUACUUUAUCGCACUCAACUUAGUUGAGCUUGAAGGUUGAUAACUGACUAAAUGUUAUUGUAAGUGUGCAUGAAUGUAACCUGUAUGUGUGCUUUACUGCAUCGGCUGAACUGGUCCCCAAAACCUUCUGUUCAACGGACUAUUCGAACCAGCAAAGGGCUUGGUCAGAUAGGACGGAAGCUUUGGGUAACUGUUUCGGUAUACUCGAGUAUUACCCUAAAGUUAGGAGAUUAUUGAACUGAUUACUGAAUGUAGGGGUUUGUUUAUUGUUUUGGAGGACAUAAGGAGGUGAUUUGGCGGAGUGUACGAUGAUAUUGAAAUGAAUGUACAAUGACACUGAAAUGAAUGUGCAAUGAUAUUGAAAUGACACUGAAUUACUGAACGAAACUAAGUGCUACGUCUGGAACGGACGGGAGCCACCUCUAGAGUCCAUGCAUAUCAGUAUCGUAUCCUUUGAGGUGAUUGAUUACUUUUAUUAAAUUUGAUAUCCUAAAUUGUUAAGUUUGGUGAAUGUUUUAUAUGGCUAAUUGGUUGUUGUAUCCUUUUGAAAGUGACUAUACAGUGAAAUGUGCAUUACUUGCUUAAUUUUACUGGUUAAGUGUUUAUUGAAUGUUACUUGUUCGGCAAACUUCACUGAGUUUUAGCUCAACCCUUUAGUUUUAUUUUCCUUACAGGAGUUGGUGGUCAGGGAAUGAACGAAAGAUCUUAGGGAAUUAACAUGAAGACUUUUGUGAUUGUAAAUCCUUUAAUAUCAUAUUAUGGUUGAGGCUAUUAUACUUGGUAUUGUAAAA